GUUUAUUCUCCCUUCUUUAUCAUCAGAAAGUUGCUUCUCCUUCUCCUCUCUCAAAAUUAUAAAGUGUUCCUGUGAAGAUUUCUUCUAUGAAAAUUUUGAAACGAACCUCUGUAACAAGGUACGAUCAUAGAGUGAAAUUUAUAGUUUAGUUCGUGUAUUAACAUGUGAUUAAACUAUUUGAAUAUGAUGAUCCUGUAAACUAUGUGCUUGAUUUAAUUCUUCAGUACCUAUAGUCAUUGCAGAAGGAAGUGCAUAUUGCAGGAGAAGCACAAACUGAUAUAAGGAAUCUGAUCCAACCAACCCCAAAUGGCGUGCAGUUUUGACAACACAAAUGCCUGAUAAUGGCAUUGCCACAUAACGUACUACCUGUAUGCCUAUCACAACCCGCAUACCUACUGCUGACUUUUUCAGCCCUGCACUUAAAAAUAAAUACACGACUGAGUUUAUAGCGUAAAUAAAUUUCCAUAUUAUUAAAUCACAUAAGAAAGAAUUUUUGGUAACCAUCUAAGUUUAAUGUAUCUUCUACUGUCAGGAAUUACCUCUAAGAAGAUUUGCUCCAACUAUCAAUGUCAUGGCUGGUAUUGCAGCCUCUCUGCAGCGCAUAACACGUAGCAUUGAGUGAGUUGUCAUAUAUACAAGCCAUUCAGCUUUGUUAUAAGCUCAUUUAAUUAGGUUUCAUACCCUAGCAUAGAUGCAGAGCUAUCAAUCACAUGCAAUGGAGCCUCAUUUCCAAUCAUCAGCUUUCUUAACAGGGACGUUACACCAAUGAUGAUUCCAACAAUCUGUAGAGAUUACAAUUGCCAGUGUGCAGUUUAUAGCGUCAAAUUAAUGAGUGUUAUUCUGAUACAUAGGAUUCUGAAUACUGUAGAAAGU
RNAcentral lists this long non-coding RNA (873 nucleotides) under Nicotiana tabacum (common tobacco). RNAcentral describes it as "long non-coding RNA (NTAB_LNC002160)". Lineage: Eukaryota; Viridiplantae; Streptophyta; Magnoliopsida; Solanales; Solanaceae. The record is from RNAcentral.